GGCAGUCCCCCUGACCGGGGCCUGUCCGUAGCGGGUGCGAGGCCCAUAGCCGCCGCGGCCGUCUCGAAUGCGAUCUCCUUGGAGUCGGGUUGCUUGGGAGUGCAGCCCUAAUCGGGUGGUAAACUCCACCUAAGGCUAAAUACCGCCGUGAGACCGAUAGCAAACAAGUACCGUGAGGGAAAGUUGCAAAGAACUUUGAAGAGAGAGUUCAAAAGUACGUGAAACUGCUCARAGGUAAACGGGUGGGCCCUCGAAAUCCUGUGGCGAGAGGAUUCAGUCUGGGUCGGCGCGACGCGCGGGAGGAAGAUUUCAGGGCUUCCGCCGAGAGCGGGCCGUCCUCCCGUGCGAGAUCGUCCGUUCCAGACGCAUUUGUCUCUCGUCCCGAGGACGCUGCAGCCGGUCUGGGAGUGCAAGCGCGACGGCCUGAAGGUCGGGAGCCGGAAGGUGGCCGGUGGCUCGCCUCGUGCGGGUCGCCGGUUGUUAGCCGUCCCGACAGUGGCUCGUCUCCAGACCGUGGUGUCGCGAGUCCCUCCGGGGACUCUCCGUCUCCACCCCAGCUGUCGCAGGACGGGACCCGGCCAGGGUCUCCUACUCCGACCGUCGCACUUCCACGGAGUGGGCGGACGGGCUGGGAGCCCGAAUCGCCGGGGCGGACCUGCGGGGGACCGGAGGCUGGCAGCGAGUAGGUCGGUCACCCACCCGACCCGUCUUGAAACACGGACCAAGGAGUAUAACAUGUGCGCGAGUCAAUGGGUCUUGACUAGGCCCAUGGGCGCAAUGAAAGCGAAGGACUUCCGAGCGGAGUCUGAGUGGGGAUCCCCCGGUUUUUKRUCCGGGGGCGCACCCGCGACCCGUCCUAUCCGGCUCGCCGGUUGGGCGGAGUCUGAGCGUACACGU
This 897-nucleotide ribosomal RNA is filed under the name Petemathis portoricensis. RNAcentral describes it as "eukaryotic LSU rRNA". It matches the Rfam family "Eukaryotic large subunit ribosomal RNA", at positions 181 to 809 of the family's 3401-position model. Lineage: Eukaryota; Metazoa; Arthropoda; Arachnida; Araneae; Salticidae. The record is from RNAcentral.